CCUACGGGGGGCUGCAGUGGGGAAUAUUGGACAAUGGGCGAAAGCCUGAUCCAGCCAUGCCGCGUGUGUGAAGAAGGCCUUCGGGUUGUAAAGCACUUUCAGUGGGGAAGAAAGCCUUGGGGCUAAUACCCUCGAGGAAGGACAUCACCCACAGAAGAAGCACCGGCUAACUCCGUGCCAGCAGCCGCGGUAAUACGGAGGGUGUGAGCGUUAAUCGGAAUUACUGGGCGUAAAGCGCGCGUAGGCGGUCUGAUAAGCCGGUUGUGAAAGCCCCGGGCUCAACCUGGGAACGGCAUCCGGAACUGUCAGGCUAGAGUGCAGGAGAGGAAGGUAGAAUUCCCGGUGUAGCGGUGAAAUGCGUAGAGAUCGGGAGGAAUACCAGUGGCGAAGGCGGCCUUCUGGACUGACACUGACGCUGAGGUGCGAAAGCGUGGGUAGCAAACAGGAUUAGAUACCCGAGUAGUC
Molecule: ribosomal RNA, 465 nt
Filed under: Vreelandella stevensii
Lineage: Bacteria; Pseudomonadati; Pseudomonadota; Gammaproteobacteria; Oceanospirillales; Halomonadaceae
Description: partial 16S ribosomal RNA
Rfam family: Bacterial small subunit ribosomal RNA
Source: RNAcentral